AAGCCAUUUCUGUUCGUAAUGAGGGAGAAAUGCAUUAGCUAAAGUUGGACCUAGUGGGGAGCCCAUCGCAACGCCAUCUAUUUGUUCAUACAAGCUGUUAUUGAACAAGAAAUGUGAAUUCUUAGUGAUACAAGAAAAGCUUCAAGAGGAACGAGACGAUGCAUGUCGUAUUCGCUCUCAGUUGGAGAGAGAGAAUCAGCGAAAGGCACAACUUACUGUGGAUCUUUCUCAGCAGGUUCGAGUCCUUCUUAAAGAAGUUGAGGAGGCACGAGGGGGUUAUGUGGCAACAACUAGAAGUGACCAAGAUGAAGAGGUAACCUCAACUGACCAGUCAGCUUCCAGUUCUAUCAUUACAAAACAACUCGUUUCGUUUAGGGACAUUGAAGAGCUCCAAAUGAAAAACGAACAGUUAUUGGCAGUGGUACGAGAACUGAGUGAGAAACAGGAAGAAGUUGAAAAGCUGGCUACUCAGGAGAAGUAAGAAUGGAUAGUUUUAAGUAUCGGCUGCAA
Long non-coding RNA from Limulus polyphemus (Atlantic horseshoe crab), 510 nucleotides. RefSeq lists it as uncharacterized. Lineage: Eukaryota; Metazoa; Arthropoda; Merostomata; Xiphosura; Limulidae. The transcript is spliced from 4 exons. The record is from RefSeq and is a predicted model, not a curated record.